GAUGAACGCUAGCGGGAGGCUUAACACAUGCAAGUCGAGGGGCAGCAUAGGGUAGCAAUACUCUGAUGGCGACCGGCAAACGGGUGAGUAACGCGUAUGCAACCUACCCUGUACAGGGGGAUAACCCGGAGAAAUUCGGACUAAUAUCCCGUAAUAAUAUCCGGAGGCAUCUUUGGAUAUUUAAAGUUUCGACGGUACGGGAUGGGCAUGCGUAACAUUAGCUGGUUGGUAAGGUAACGGCUUACCAAGGCUAUGAUGUUUAGGGGUCCUGAGAGGGUGGUCCCCCACACUGGUACUGAGACACGGACCAGACUCCUACGGGAGGCAGCAGUGAGGAAUAUUGGUCAAUGGGCGCAAGCCUGAACCAGCCAUCCCGCGUGCAGGAAGACGGCCCUAUGGGUUGUAAACUGCUUUUCCAGGGAGAGAAACUUACGCACGUGUUGCGUGACUGACGGUACCCUGGAAUAAGCAUCGGCUAACUCCGUG
This 486-nucleotide ribosomal RNA is filed under the name uncultured bacterium. Its description in RNAcentral is "bacterial SSU rRNA". It matches the Rfam family "Bacterial small subunit ribosomal RNA", at positions 28 to 507 of the family's 1533-position model. The record is from RNAcentral.